RNAcentral lists this long non-coding RNA (207 nucleotides) under Panax ginseng (ginseng). Its description in RNAcentral is "long non-coding RNA (PGIN_LNC019234)". The record is from RNAcentral. Lineage: Eukaryota; Viridiplantae; Streptophyta; Magnoliopsida; Apiales; Araliaceae.
AUCAUACGAUCAUCCUUUAACUCAUUAACGUUUCACUUUUCCCAACGUUCUCUAAUUAAGUCUGCAGGCGAAAAAUGGAGUUUGCCAUACUUGAAUUCACUACAACAAAAAGGCUUAUCAGCAAUCGCAUAUCUGCAACCGUAGAUAGUCACAGAUGAGUAUUAGCGACCGAAUGCGGUCGCUGAUAUUAGUCGCAGGUAAUCUGGU